CACCUUGGGACUAACACCUUGCCACCAUCUGGAAGAGGAUGUCCUCCCCCUCCCCGGCACCACCACACUGCACUCAACCCUCCCACCACUAUCAUUCCAACCUCCCACUGAUGUGUUAGAUCCCUGAACCCCUACCUACUGUUCUUUACAAUGUGUUUAUAAUGUGUACAUUUUUAGCUUAGCGGCUGGUAAGACCAAAUACACUAUAUUAUUACUAUUAGCACACACACACUUGACCAAUAAGCCCAGGCCACAACAGCCAGCCCAGCACAGUCACCAAAAAGAUCAGACCUUUCACAGGACCCACCAACCACAUGAAGCCUGGGGUGGAAAGUGAAUAACAGAUCAUGCCGUCACAGUCACCAUUUGUUCCAACAGAUGAAUAUUUUCUGUUCUCUGUGCUACACACAGCCCUGUAACACCACCACAACAAACACUUGCACUCACACACACAGCAGAACUGAAUCAGCACAGCACCUCAGGAGAAGUGGACCUUCAUGUGCCUGACAAUCUCACCCUUAGUCAUGAAACGUUUCCCACAAACAUCGCACUUGAACCCUUUAUGACCAGAGUAUCUGAAGACGUGCAUGUCCAAUAUACUCUUCAGUUUGAACCUUUUCCCACAAACUUCACACUCAUGACUUCUUGCAUCAGUGUGUGUAACAAGGUGUAAUUUGAGGGUACCCUUCUGACUGAAACAUUUCCCACAAACUUCACACUCAUGCUUUCUUUCACCAGUGUGUGUAAGAGUGUGUAAUUUGAGGUUACUCUUGUGACUGAAACAUUUCCCACAAACUUCACACUCAUGAUUUCUUUCACCAGUGUGUAUAAGAGUGUGUAAUUUGAGGGUACCCUUCUGACUGAAACAUUGCCCACAAACUUCACACUCAUGAUUUCUUUCACCAGUGUGUGUAAGAGUGUGUAAUUUGAGGGUACCCUUCUGACUGAAACAUUUCCCACAAACUUCACACUUAUAAUUUUUUUCACCAGUGUGUGUAAGGGUGUGUUUCCUGAGGAUACUCUUCCGACUGAAACAUUUUCCACAAACUUCACACUCAUGAUUUCUUUCACCAGUGUGUGUAAGGGUGUGUGUGUUGAGGUGACCCUUCUGAUUGAAACAUUUCCCACAAACUUCACACUCAUGGUUUCUUGCACCAGUGUGUGUAAGGGUGUGAUGUUUGGGGUUACUCCUAUUACUAAACCUUUUGCCACACUCCCGACUUUCAUGAGGUCUUACACCAGAGUGUGUGGGUGUAUUUGUUGAGGUCAUCCUUCCCUGCAUGUCUUUUCUCACACUCUUGGCUUUGGUCAGUAAACUUGCUCUCAUUCUCAGAUCUUCUCACACUUCUGAAAUUCAAACUUCCCCCUUUGUGGAUGAAGAGGCCAGCAGUUGUUGUUGUUGGUGGUGGUUGUGUUGGUGGUGUUUUUUAUCACUCCUGAACCUCACACCAGUAGCAGUCUGCUCCUGCUGAUCCCAGCCACUCCAGCUGCUGUCCCGCCUUGCAGCCUCCACUGCAACACUACUCUGGAUGUGAGGAGUUGGCUGGCCUUGAGGAACCUCAGAGAUGCUGGAGAAGGCGGCGAGGUUGCUUCAAAGCCACACUCAGUGACCAAUUGAGCAGGCAAGGCGAGGGAUGCACCAAGGAGUCCUGAAGUCAGCGGCAGCAGGGACGGAACAAGUACUGACCACAGCAACUGUCUCGAUGCCUCACUUCAACACUAACACCAGUGGUGGACAUUGGGACACAAAGUCAUGUGCUGAAAAAAAAAAAAAAAAGACUGGUAAGGAAAC
This is a long non-coding RNA of Eriocheir sinensis (Chinese mitten crab), 1792 nucleotides long. RefSeq lists it as uncharacterized. Lineage: Eukaryota; Metazoa; Arthropoda; Malacostraca; Decapoda; Varunidae. The transcript has 3 exons. The record is from RefSeq and is a predicted model, not a curated record.